Molecule: long non-coding RNA, 2655 nt
Organism: Lycium ferocissimum
Lineage: Eukaryota; Viridiplantae; Streptophyta; Magnoliopsida; Solanales; Solanaceae
Exons: 2
Source: RefSeq, a predicted model, not a curated record
ACAAGCACUAAACAUGGUAAACAAGAAAUACCAGAGCUUAUGUUUUUCAAAUCCGAGGUGAAAAUCAUAUAUGUCGCGUCUAAAUCUUGUGCUAUUUAUACUUUCUCGUCCAAUAGAUAUACGGGAAAUGAAUCCCGAGUUUAUCUGCGAAUAAUAAAAGUGUGACAAAAGAUGCUAUUUAAACUAAUACAUCAAGAAAUAUAAAUGCUACGAAAAAUCAGAUGAUGUUAGUUAAUUAAAAGAUAACAAUAUAAAAGAUACAAUUAAUUGAGUAAAGAAUUAGUCAUAAAUGGUUAUGCAAGAUCAUAAUUAAGAUGAGGAAAUUGAUUUGUAAUCAUACAAGCAGAUAAUUAAUUGGUGAGAAAAUAACAAAGGAUUUAUAUAGUAAUUUCUAUAAAAUGACAAUCAUUUGAGCUGUUAAAAGGUAAAAAUAAUACUGCACUAGCAACACUAUGAGUAAUUAUGAGAUAUUAUUCAACAUAUAAAUGUAACACACACACACACAAAAAAAAAAAAAGUAUAUAUUGAAGUGACAAAAUGAUUAUGCAAAAAGGUCAAAAUAGUUUCGUGAUCACAUGAAGUAAACUAGUAGCUUAGCAAAGAUAGGUACAGUACAUGAAGGUCAAAAUUGAGUGUCAACAAACGUCAACGUCAAACCAAAGAAGGAACCUGAAAAACAAAGAAGAAGGCAAAAAGGCAACAGAUAAGAAUCAAGGCAAUGCUCUGAAACAAACAUAAUAAUGAACAAAGCAAAGGACAACAGCAUUAACACCAAAGAAGAUGGAAAAAAAAGCAAGCAAUUUGCAGCAUCAGAAUAAAGAACAAAACAAAGGGCAACAACAGCAUGUUAAUACCAAAUGAAAAGCUGGUGGAUAUAAAAGGAGAAAAAGGAAUGGAAUCUAGUUAAGAAUACAAUGGAGAGUGAUCAACAUAGCAACAGUAAUAUUCAACAAAACAUUCAGAACAACAAUGGAAAUAACAUACGUCAAAAUCAUCAAGUAAAAACUGACAAGUCAUAUGCAGUUUUGGAUAAUGAGGGAAAGGAACAAAGCGCGGGUGACGAUAAUGUAAUGGAAAUAAACAAGGAGACAGACAAGGAGAAGGCUAAGGCAAUUGAUCUGCAUAAUGGACAGGACAUUAAGGUACAGAAACCAACACAAAUAGUUUUAAAAACAAGUACUGGGGACAAGUCCCAGGGAAAUGAUCAUAAAGAAGGGGACAUUACAAAGGAAAAAGGUAAGACAAUUAAGCAAACAAGUGAAACAAACAAUGAGAAUUAAAAUAUAGAAGAAGAGGUAUCAAAAAACCAAUAUGAAGGGAAGGAGGAUAAUUCUGACACAAAGACUCGGAAUGAAGAAAUUAUAGAGGUCAAUGAAGUGAAUGUAGGAGAUCAUCAAGCUACAGAAAAAUCAGAGGAGUUUGUUGGCACAAAAGGUAAAGAGGCAUCCAAGACAGAGGAAAUCAAGAGGAUAAUUUAGACAAGAAUAAAACAAACCCAAUUGAAGAAGCAAAAUUGAUUACUCCAGGAAAACAUGGAACCAGAACUUCACAGGUGUCCUCUUCAAAGGUGGCACCUAGAUCUGCAACAGGAAGAGAAGUGGAUGAGCAUGAAAAAGAACAACCUUGAAAUAAACAUUGAUCAUAUUGCCAAAGAAGCUGAUUUGUCCCCUAAGUAGAUUGUCAAUCUCAAAGAAAACAAUUCAAAGAGUAAAGGAGGGAACCCAGUCAAAGACAACGUUGGACCUAUCAGAUUUUUACCAAAGAGACUCACAGUCUCCAAAUAUGCCAGGCAAUGAUGAAUAAAAACCUAUUUUGAAAUAUAAGAUCAGUUAAUUCUCAAGAAGCUUUUGAGAGAUUGAUUAAUAUAAUUAGGAGGAAUCAUUAUUCUAUAAUUGGUCUGUUGGAACCUUUUCAAGAUUCAUUAGAAAUAGAUACAUAUAGUAGAAUAAUUGGUCAUCAUACAGCAAUGCCAAAUUGUUCAGGCAAAAUUUGACUUUUUUAUCAAAGGAUGUGCAGGGAACAUUGGUGUGUGAUCUGCCCAACAUUUAACUAUUAAAAUCUUGUUUCAUGACUUAAGGGAGGAAUGUUUAAUUUCAACUAUCUAUUCAUCAUGUGAUAGUGCUACAAGAAGAGAACUCUGGGAAUCUCUCACACAGACUAUUGAGAAUAUGAACUUACGUACCAUGGGUAAUUGGAGGAGACUUCAAUGUCAUAAUUUUUGAAGAAGAGAAACUUGGAGGGCUGCCAGUUUUAUUUCAAGAAGUGGAAGAUUUUGUACAAUUCAUUGGACAAAAUGGUAUUCAAGAUAUAGGAUAUGUGAGAAGUACAUACACCUGGUGGAAUAAAAGAACAGGAGGUGCAUGCAUAUUCAAGAGACUUGAUAGACUAUUAGAGUUCGUGAAUGGUUCGACUUUCACGCUUCGUGACUGAGUUCCGAGGCUAUUUGACGAACAUUCUAGGGUGAGCACUUGGAUGGAUUCGCUGCCCAGAUGACUCUUAUCUAUUCAUGUCUUUAUAUUCUAUAAUUUAGACAUUUAUUUACAAAUAUUUUAGACUUGUAUUUCCUAAAACUAUGUAGUGGCUCUUGUACUAUUUAGACCAGAUUUUGGGAUUUGAUGUAUCUUUCACACUUAUUAUAUUUAUCUAUUUAUGCUA